This 74-nucleotide transfer RNA is filed under the name Atopostipes suicloacalis DSM 15692. It matches the Rfam family "tRNA". From Rfam's summary of the family: Transfer RNA (tRNA) molecules are approximately 80 nucleotides in length. Their secondary structure includes four short double-helical elements and three loops (D, anti-codon, and T loops). Further hydrogen bonds mediate the characteristic L-shaped molecular structure. tRNAs have two regions of fundamental functional importance: the anti-codon, which is responsible for specific mRNA codon recognition, and the 3' end, to which the tRNAs corresponding amino acid is attached (by aminoacyl-tRNA synthetases). tRNAs cope with the degeneracy of the genetic code in two manners: having more than one tRNA (with a specific anti-codon) for a particular amino acid; and 'wobble' base-pairing, i.e. permitting non-standard base-pairing at the 3rd anti-codon position. The record is from Rfam by way of RNAcentral. RNAcentral also lists the same sequence under 1 other name. Lineage: Bacteria; Bacillati; Bacillota; Bacilli; Lactobacillales; Carnobacteriaceae.
GGACCUUUAGCUCAGCUGGUUAGAGCAGACGGCUCAUAACCGUCCGGUCGCUGGUUCGAAUCCAGCAAGGUCCA